GACGAACUCUGGCGGCGUGCUUAACACAUGCAAGUCGAACGGAAAGGCCCUGCUUUUGUGGGGUGCUCGAGUGGCGAACGGGUGAGUAACACGUGAGUAACCUGCCCUUGACUUUGGGAUAACUUCAGGAAACUGGGGCUAAUACCGGAUAGGAGCUCCUGCUGCAUGGUGGGGGUUGGAAAGUUUCGGCGGUUGGGGAUGGACUCGCGGCUUAUCAGCUUGUUGGUGGGGUAGUGGCUUACCAAGGCUUUGACGGGUAGCCGGCCUGAGAGGGUGACCGGCCACAUUGGGACUGAGAUACGGCCCAGACUCCUACGGGAGGCAGCAGUGGGGAAUAUUGCACAAUGGGCGGAAGCCUGAUGCAGCAACGCCGCGUGCGGGAUGACGGCCUUCGGGUUGUAAACCGCUUUCGCCUGUGACGAAGCGUGAGUGACGGUAAUGGGUAAAGAAGCACCGGCUAACUACGUGCCAGCAGCCGCGGUGAUACGUAGGGUGCGAGCGUUGUCCGGAUUUAUUGGGCGUAAAGGGCUCGUAGGUGGUUGAUCGCGUCGGAAGUGUAAUCUUGGGGCUUAACCCUGAGCGUGCUUUCGAUACGGGUUGACUUGAGGAAGGUAGGGGAGAAUGGAAUUCCUGGUGGAGCGGUGGAAUGCGCAGAUAUCAGAAGGAACACCAGUGGCGAAGGCGGUUCUCUGGGCCUUUCCUGACGCUGAGGAGCGAAAGCGUGGGGAGCGAACAGGCUUAGAUACCCUGGUAGUCCACGCUGUAAACGGUGGGUACUAGGUGUGGGGUCCAUUCCACGGGUUCCGUGCCGUAGCUAACGCUUUAAGUACCCCGCCUGGGGAGUACGGCCGCAAGGCUAAAACUCAAAGGAAUUGACGGGGCCCCGCACAAGCGGCGGAGCAUGCGGAUUAAUUCGAUGCAACGCGUAGAACCUUACCUGGGUUUGACAUGGAUCGGGAGUGCUCAGAGAUGGGUGUGCCUCUUUUGGGGUCGGUUCACAGGUGGUGCAUGGCUGUCGUCAGCUCGUGUCGUGAGAUGUUGGGUUAAGUCCCGCAACGAGCGCAACCCUUGUUCACUGUUGCCAGCACGUUAUGGUGGGGACUCAGUGGAGACCGCCGGGGUCAACUCGGAGGAAGGUGGGGAUGACGUCAAGUCAUCAUGCCCCUUAUGUCCAGGGCUUCACGCAUGCUACAAUGGCUGGUACAGAGAGUGGCGAGCCUGUGAGGGUGAGCGAAUCUCGGAAAGCCGGUCUCAGUUCGGAUUGGGGUCUGCAACUCGACCUCAUGAAGUCGGAGUCGCUAGUAAUCGCAGAUCAGCAACGCUGCGGUGAAUACGUUCCCGGG
RNAcentral lists this ribosomal RNA (1343 nucleotides) under uncultured bacterium. RNAcentral describes it as "16S ribosomal RNA". It matches the Rfam family "Bacterial small subunit ribosomal RNA", at positions 28 to 1378 of the family's 1533-position model. The record is from RNAcentral.